RNAcentral lists this ribosomal RNA (2917 nucleotides) under Acinetobacter baumannii. RNAcentral describes it as "bacterial LSU rRNA". It matches the Rfam family "Bacterial large subunit ribosomal RNA". The record is from RNAcentral. Lineage: Bacteria; Pseudomonadati; Pseudomonadota; Gammaproteobacteria; Moraxellales; Moraxellaceae.
GUUGUAUAGUCAAGUAAUUAAGUGCAUGUGGUGGAUGCCUUGGCAGUCAGAGGCGAUGAAAGACGUGAUAGCCUGCGAAAAGCUCCGGGGAGGCGGCAAAUAUCCUUUGAUCCGGAGAUGUCUGAAUGGGGAACCCACCUACUUUAAGGUAGGUAUUGCAACAUGAAUACAUAGUGUUGCAAGGCGAACGAGGGGAAGUGAAACAUCUCAGUACCCUUAGGAAAAGAAAUCAAUUGAGAUUCCCUCAGUAGCGGCGAGCGAACGGGGAUCAGCCCAUUAAGUUAUGUGUGUUUUAGUGGAACGCUCUGGGAAGUGCGAACGUAGAGGGUGAUAUUCCCGUACACGAAAGGGCACACAUAAUGAUGACGAGUAGGGCGAGGCACGUGAAACCUUGUCUGAAUAUGGGGGGACCAUCCUCCAAGGCUAAAUACUCCUGACUGACCGAUAGUGAACCAGUACCGUGAGGGAAAGGCGAAAAGAACCCCUGUGAGGGGAGUGAAAUAGAUCCUGAAACCGCAUGCAUACAAGCAGUGGGAGCACCUUCGUGGUGUGACUGCGUACCUUUUGUAUAAUGGGUCAGCGACUUAUAUUCAGUAGCGAGGUUAACCGUAUAGGGGAGCCGUAGAGAAAUCGAGUCUUAAUAGGGCGUUUAGUUGCUGGGUAUAGACCCGAAACCAGGCGAUCUAUCCAUGAGCAGGUUGAAGGUUGGGUAACACUAACUGGAGGACCGAACCCACUGUCGUUGAAAAGCCAGGGGAUGACUUGUGGAUAGGGGUGAAAGGCUAAUCAAGCCUGGUGAUAGCUGGUUCUCCCCGAAAGCUAUUUAGGUAGCGCCUCGGACGAAUACCAUAGGGGGUAGAGCACUGUUUCGGCUAGGGGGUCAUCCCGACUUACCAAACCGAUGCAAACUCCGAAUACCUAUGAGUACUAUCCGGGAGACAGACUGCGGGUGCUAACGUCCGUAGUCAAGAGGAAAACAAUCCAGACCGCCAGCUAAGGCCCCAAAAUCAUAGUUAAGUGGGAAACGAUGUGGGAAGGCAUAGACAGCUAGGAGGUUGGCUUAGAAGCAGCCACCCUUUAAAGAAAGCGUAAUAGCUCACUAGUCGAGUCGGCCUGCGCGGAAGAUGUAACGGGGCUAAAACUAUGUGCCGAAGCUGCGGAUGUAUACUUUGUAUACGUGGUAGGGGAGCGUUCUGUAAGCCGAUGAAGGUGUGUUGAGAAGCAUGCUGGAGGUAUCAGAAGUGCGAAUGCUGACGUGAGUAACGACAAAACGGGUGAAAAACCCGUUCGCCGAAAGACCAAGGGUUCCAGUCCAACGUUAAUCGGGGCUGGGUGAGUCGACCCCUAAGGCGAGGCCGAAAGGCGUAGUCGAUGGGAAAAUGGUUAAUAUUCCAUUACUUCUGUGUAAUGCGAUGAGAGGACGGAGAAGGCUAAAUCAGCCUGGCGUUGGUUGUCCAGGUGAAAGGAUGUAGGCAUGUAUCUUAGGCAAAUCCGGGGUACUCUAUGCUGAGAUCUGAUAGCAAGCUGUACUUGUACAGCGAAGUGGUUGAUGCCAUGCUUCCAGGAAAAGUCUCUAAGCUUCAGUUACACAGGAAUCGUACCCGAAACCGACACAGGUGGUCAGGUCGAGUAGACCAAGGCGCUUGAGAGAACUCUGCUGAAGGAACUAGGCAAAAUGGUACCGUAACUUCGGGAGAAGGUACGCUGUUGUUGGUGAUGGAACUCGCUUCCUGAGCUGACGACAGCCGCAGAAACCAGGCCGCUGCAACUGUUUAUUAAAAACAUAGCACUCUGCAAACACGAAAGUGGACGUAUAGGGUGUGAUGCCUGCCCGGUGCUGGAAGGUUAAUUGAUGGGGUUAGCGUAAGCGAAGCUCUUGAUCGAAGCCCCAGUAAACGGCGGCCGUAACUAUAACGGUCCUAAGGUAGCGAAAUUCCUUGUCGGGUAAGUUCCGACCUGCACGAAUGGCAUAAUGAUGGCGGCGCUGUCUCCAGCAGAGGCUCAGUGAAAUCGAAAUCGCUGUGAAGAUGCAGUGUACCCGCGGCUAGACGGAAAGACCCCGUGAACCUUUACUGCAGCUUGACACUGAACUUUGACCUUACUUGUGUAGGAUAGGUGGGAGGCUUUGAAGCUGGAACGCUAGUUCCAGUGGAGCCGUCCUUGAAAUACCACCCUGGUAAUGUUGAGGUUCUAACUCUGUCCCGUGAUCCGGGACGAGGACCGUGUCUGGUGGGUAGUUUGACUGGGGCGGUCUCCUCCUAAAGAGUAACGGAGGAGUACGAAGGUGCGCUCAGCGUGGUCGGAAAUCACGCGUAGAGUAUAAAGGCAAAAGCGCGCUUAACUGCGAGACCCACAAGUCGAGCAGGUACGAAAGUAGGUCUUAGUGAUCCGGUGGUUCUGUAUGGAAGGGCCAUCGCUCAACGGAUAAAAGGUACUCUGGGGAUAACAGGCUGAUACCGCCCAAGAGUUCAUAUCGACGGCGGUGUUUGGCACCUCGAUGUCGGCUCAUCUCAUCCUGGGGCUGAAGCAGGUCCCAAGGGUAUGGCUGUUCGCCAUUUAAAGAGGUACGCGAGCUGGGUUUAGAACGUCGUGAGACAGUUCGGUCCCUAUCUACCGUGGGCGCUGGAAAUUUGAGAGGAUCUGCUCCUAGUACGAGAGGACCAGAGUGGACGAACCUCUGGUGUACCGGUUGUGACGCCAGUCGCAUCGCCGGGUAGCUAUGUUCGGAAGGGAUAACCGCUGAAAGCAUCUAAGCGGGAAGCCUACCUCAAGAUAAGAUUUCCCUAGGACUUUAUGUCCUCUAAAGAGCCGUUCGAGACUAGGACGUUGAUAGGUUGGAUGUGGAAGCAUAGUGAUAUGUGAAGCUGACCAAUACUAAUUGCUCGUGAGGCUUGACUAUACAACACCCAAGCAGUUG